UCAGAUUGACUGCAAUUCAAAAGCUCUAUAUUGGGAUCAUCUGGGACUUUGGAUUGUUCAGAAUUAUUUCCAAUUACAUAUUGAGUUCAAGUAUAUCCUAUGAAACAACACUCUGGAUGAAGGCAGUGGCAACACGAAGCAUGGUUUUAUAGUCUCUCUAAUCUGGAACCUCACAGAUCGGAUUCUGGAAAGUUUAAAACUUAUGGUAGGAAGUAUUGAAUGCAGCGAUUUACUGUUUGCAGCUGAAUGCCACAUCCAGUCCUCAUCUCAGUAGUCCACAAGUAGCAGGAACCACAGCAGAUUGGAUGGAGAUUUGCAUUCCAGGUACUCUGAAAGGAAGGAGCAGAAAAGGAAAACAUGGUCUAGUGGCUGACCACAGUGGCUGGACAACAGUCACUAGCUUUUAUUUCAAGAGUAAAUAUGCCAUGCUUGAAGGUCCAUUUAGUGCUACAAGUAUGUGCACAGUGUAGCAUCCUCUGCCAUCACUUGAGGAGUCUCUCAGGAACUGCAUCCCUGAUGUAAAUUGUCUCCAUCAACUGCCAAAAUCUUCUCAGGAAUGGUAGGACUUAUUAAACCCCUUCUCUACCCA
Molecule: long non-coding RNA, 589 nt
Organism: Mastomys coucha (southern multimammate mouse)
Lineage: Eukaryota; Metazoa; Chordata; Mammalia; Rodentia; Muridae
Exons: 4
Source: RefSeq, a predicted model, not a curated record